This 430-nucleotide ribosomal RNA is filed under the name uncultured archaeon. RNAcentral's name for it is "bacterial SSU rRNA". It matches the Rfam family "Archaeal small subunit ribosomal RNA", at positions 474 to 903 of the family's 1478-position model. The record is from RNAcentral.
UACCUGCAGCUCGAGUGGUGACCGCUAUUAUUGGGCCUAAAACGUUCGUAGCCGGUUUAGUAAAUGCCUGGGUAAAUCGUGUAGCUUAACUAUACGAAUUCCGGGUAGACUGCUAAACUUGAGACCGGGAGAGGCUAGAGGUACUCCUGGGGUAGAGGUGAAAUUCUGUAAUCCUGGGGGGACCACCAGUGGCGAAGGCGUCUAGCUAGAACGGGUCUGACGGUGAGGUACGAAGCCCUGGGGCGCAAACCGGAUUAGAUACCCGGGUAGUCCAGGGUGUAAACGCUGCUUGCUUGAUGUUAGUUGGGCUCCGAGCCCAAUUAGUGUCGGAGAGAAGUUGUUAAGCAAGCUGCCUGGGAAGUGCGGUCGCAAAGGCUAGAAACUUAAAGGAAUUGGCGGGGAGCACAGCAACGGGUGGAGCGUGCGGUUU